Molecule: ribosomal RNA, 492 nt
Filed under: uncultured bacterium
Lineage: Bacteria
Description: partial 16S ribosomal RNA
Rfam family: Bacterial small subunit ribosomal RNA
Source: RNAcentral
AGUGAACGCUGGCGGUAGGCCUAACACAUGCAAGUCGAACGGCAGCACAGUAAGAGCUUGCUCUUACGGGUGGCGAGUGGCGGACGGGUGAGGAAUACAUCGGAAUCUACUUUUUCGUGGGGAAUAACGUAGGGAAACUUACGCUAAUACCGCAUACGACCUACGUGUGAAAUCAAGGGAUCUUCUGACUUUGCGCGAUUGAAUGAGCCGAUGUCGGGUUAGCUAGGUGGCGGGGUAAAGGCCCACCAAGGCGACGAUGCGUAGCUGGUCUGAGAGGAUGAACCGCACCACUGGAACUGAGACACGGUCCAGACUCCUACGGGAGGCAGCAGUGGGGACUAUUGGACAAUGGGCGGAAGCCUGAUCCAGCCAUACCGCGUGGAUGAAGAAGGCCUUCGGGUUGUAAAACCCUUUUGUUGGGAAAGAAAAGCAGCAGGUUAAUACCCCGCUGUUCUGACGGUACCCAAAGAAUAAGCACCGGCUAACUUCGUG